UGCGCAGGUGGGGAUGUAAGUCAGUGGUGAAAUACUGCCGCUCAACGGUAGAACUGCCAUUGAUACUGCAUCUCUUGAGUAUGGUUGAGGUAGGCGGAAUGUGUUGUGUAGCGGUGAAAUGCAUAGAUAUGACACAGAACGCCAAUUGCGAAGGCAGCUUACUAAGCCAUUACUGACGCUGAGGCACGAAAGCGUGGGGAGCGAACAGGAUUAGAUACCCUGGUAGUC
Molecule: ribosomal RNA, 228 nt
Filed under: uncultured bacterium
Lineage: Bacteria
Description: partial 16S ribosomal RNA
Rfam family: Bacterial small subunit ribosomal RNA
Source: RNAcentral